GAUGAAGAACGUAGCGAAAUGCGAUAAGUAAUGUGAAUUGCAGAAUUCAGUGAAUCAUCGAAUCUUUGAACGCACCUUGCGCCCUUUGGCUAUUCCGAAGGGCAUGCCUGUUUGAGUAUCAUGAACACCUCAACUCUCAUGGUUUGCCAUGAUGAGCUUGGACUUUGGGGGUCUUGCCGGCCUAUGGUCGGCUCCUCUAAAAUAAAUCAGCUUACCGGUGUUUGGUGGGUAUCAUGGGUGUGAUAACUAUCUACGCUUGUGGUUUUUCCACCAGGUAACCUUCGACAGCGGAGGUUCACUGGAGCUCAUAGAUGUCUCUCCUCAGCGAGGACAGCCCUUUGAAUGUUUGAUCUCAAAUCAGGUAGGACUACCCGCUGAACUUAAGCAUAUCAAUAAGCGGAGGA
This 404-nucleotide unclassified non-coding RNA is filed under the name soil metagenome. Its description in RNAcentral is "partial contains 5.8S ribosomal RNA, internal transcribed spacer 2, and large subunit ribosomal RNA". The stretch from base 1 to 121 matches the Rfam family "5.8S ribosomal RNA", at positions 35 to 154 of the family's 154-position model. The record is from RNAcentral.